Molecule: long non-coding RNA, 972 nt
Filed under: Bos taurus (domestic cattle)
Lineage: Eukaryota; Metazoa; Chordata; Mammalia; Artiodactyla; Bovidae
Description: long non-coding RNA NONBTAT001043
Source: RNAcentral
GCUUACAGGGUAACUGACACAGCUGAAACUGCUUGGUCCCCUUUAAACAGAAGUAGUAAAAUGGGAGAGAAUGAAGCAAGUUUACCUAAUACUGCUUUGCAAGGUAAGUGCCAACAGCCUCUGAAAUGGUUGCAAUCAGAUGUGUAAGUGGUGUCCAUUACAGAUAGAGAAUGGUACAACCUACUUCCAGUCCAUUUUCAUGUGAAACUUUUCCCAGUAUUGACAGAACAUUGAUUUUUGUCCUUGCCUGUGAGAUUUUUAUUUGUAAUAAAAUUUUACCAUCUCUGGGACUUACCAGCCAAGUGUCCUUGUAAUUAAUAUUACCGCUUUUUUAAGGUAGAAAACAAGUCUCAGAGGGCAGUGUCUGGUUGGGGAGAGUGGUUUUAGAAGUCUUACUUUAUCAGAUACCUUUGUCCUUUAAAGGGACUGGCUUUAUUGACAUUGGCUUGACCAGGCUACUGUGGCUAGGCUUGUUGAUAGAAACAAAUACAAGUUGCCUCACACUUUCUACUUUUUUGAGUGAGAACGUUUCUUUAAAAAAAAAAAAGUGCAGAAGGCAUAUUUGUUGCCAUGAUUUCUAGUCGUCUACUCUCUUGUUAAUUAUUUACCACCUUUACUAGUGACAUUUUGAUCAAGGUCUUUUUAAAGAAGUCUCCUUGAUGAUGACAUUUUUAUUUCCUUAAAUAUGUUCUUCUGAAGCUUACCAGCAAGAGAAUACUCAAACCACUGUUUUCCUUUAUGUGUACGUAACCAAAAACAUAAUUAUAUCUGUGAAAUGUAAAACAUCUGAGGAUAACAAGACCAUCAUAGACAUGCUUGGUCAUAAACAUGUAUCAUCCAUUUUUAUAGAGGUAAAUAAUCUUCCAGAAUACCUGUUUUUUUUUUUUUUUUCUUCUGUAUUUUCAUUAAUCCUUUCUCUACUUACUUUGCUUAAAAAUCCCAGAAUUGUAUUUCUAUUUCUGUGUAUUUCCU